This 67-nucleotide transfer RNA is filed under the name uncultured Prevotella sp. It matches the Rfam family "tRNA". Rfam says of the family: Transfer RNA (tRNA) molecules are approximately 80 nucleotides in length. Their secondary structure includes four short double-helical elements and three loops (D, anti-codon, and T loops). The record is from RNAcentral. Lineage: Bacteria; Pseudomonadati; Bacteroidota; Bacteroidia; Bacteroidales; Prevotellaceae.
GGUAAUAGCUCAGUUGGUAGAGCACUAGCUUCCCAAGCUGGGGGUCGCGGGUUCGAGCCCCGUUUAC